Molecule: long non-coding RNA, 474 nt
Organism: Oncorhynchus tshawytscha (Chinook salmon)
Lineage: Eukaryota; Metazoa; Chordata; Actinopteri; Salmoniformes; Salmonidae
Source: Ensembl
CUUAAAUCCAGAGAAUGCCAGACUUUGAUGACACGAUUUGAUGACAACGUUUGUCCACAAGAAGGACCGCCACGCCACGUUCAAGUGAGUACAGCACAACAACGCAGAAGUAACUCUGGGUCAUCCUUUCCUUUGGCGGUCCUCAUGAGAGCCAGUUUCAUCAUAGCACUUGAUGAUUUUUGUGACUGCACUUGAAGAAACUUUCAAAGUUCUUAAAAUGUUCCAGAUUGACUGACCUUCAUGUCUUAAGGUUAUGGAGCUGGUUGAGAGAAUACCAAGAGUGUGCAAAGCUGUCAAGGCAAAGAGUGGCUACUAUGAAGAAACACUUUUUUUGUUUACUACAUGAUUCCAUAUGUGUUAUUUCAUAGUUUUAAUGUAUUCACUAUUAUUCCACAAUGUAGAAAAUCAUAAAAAUAAAGAAAAACCGUUGAAUGAGUAGGUGUAUCCAAACCUUUGACUGGUACUGUACAUAAG